RNAcentral lists this ribosomal RNA (247 nucleotides) under uncultured bacterium. RNAcentral's name for it is "partial small subunit ribosomal RNA". It matches the Rfam family "Bacterial small subunit ribosomal RNA", at positions 26 to 285 of the family's 1533-position model. The record is from RNAcentral.
AGAAUCAACGCUGACGGCGUGCCUAACACAUGCAAGUCGAACGAGAAAGUGGGAGCAAUCCCACGAGUAAAGUGGCGCACGGGUGAGUAACACGUGACUAACCUACCCUUGAGUGGGGGAUAACCUAGGGAAACCUGGGCUAAUACCGCAUAAUACCUACGGGUCAAAGGAGCAAUUCGCUUUAGGAGGGGGUCGCGGCAGAUUAGUUAGUUGGCGGGGUAAUGGCCCACCAAGACAGUGAUCUGUA